RNAcentral lists this long non-coding RNA (354 nucleotides) under Priapulus caudatus. RNAcentral describes it as "uncharacterized LOC106807162, transcript variant X1". The record is from RNAcentral. Lineage: Eukaryota; Metazoa; Priapulida; Priapulimorpha; Priapulimorphida; Priapulidae.
CUUUCGUCACGCCGUGACGGGCUUCUCUCUCGCGAGAUAUAUCACGGUCAGUAUAGACGUGGCCAGAAGCGUUCCCGCCAUGUUCUCUCUGUGUUUUUGUCGUUAAAGAUUCGAGCUGUGACAACUUCGAAUGCGCAUAUUUAUUAUAACUAACGGUCAAUCGCCAGACUGGAAGACAAGGAGAAUUAUCACGUUUUCGAGGCAGCGUCGUGCAACUAUUGAGUGGUUACCGGUCUCCAGUUGAACAUACCAAGAGUGCCAAUCACGUCGCUGAAGGACACUGUGAAUCAACAUGGUUUCGAGUCAACGUCGUGCACCGCUCGCUAGUUGAGCAUACCAAAAAGUUUAUUUUUA